AAUGAACGCUGGCGGCGUGCUUAACACAUGCAAGUCGCACGAGAAAGUUUCUGCUUGCAGAGACGAGUAAAGUGGCGCACGGGUGAGUAACGCGUGGGUAAUCUACCCCUGAAUCCGGGAUAACAUUUCGAAAGGAGUGCUAAUACCGGGUAAAAUUGUGAGGACUCCGGUUCUUGCGGUCAAAGACGGCCUCUCCAUGGAAGCUGUUGUUUUGGGAUGAGCCCGCGUACCAUUAGCUAGCUGGCAGGGUAAAAGCCUACCAGGGCGACGAUGGCUAGCUGGUCUGAGAGGAUGAUCAGCCACACCGGAACUGACACACGGUCCGGACUCCUACGGGAGGCAGCAGUGAGGAAUUUUGCGCAAUGGGCGAAAGCCUGACGCAGCAACGCCGCGUGAGUGAUGAAGGCCUCGGUCGUAA
Molecule: ribosomal RNA, 418 nt
Filed under: uncultured bacterium
Lineage: Bacteria
Description: bacterial SSU rRNA
Rfam family: Bacterial small subunit ribosomal RNA
Source: RNAcentral